GCUGCAGGCCGUGCUAUCGGGUCAUUUAUUGUGAUCAGGAAAGUCCGGACAGCAUAGGGCAACGUACCGGUUAAGAGCCGGGUCAUGCUUCAGCAUGAACAGAUAGUGCCACAGAAAAUAACUACCCCGUUCGAAAGGCCGGGGCAAAGGUGAAAACGUGAGGUAAGAGCUCACGGUUUUCCUGAGCGAUCAGGAUCACGGGUAAACCUUGCGUGCUGAAAUGCCACAUAUACCAACGGUAAGGGCUGCCCGCUCAAACGCAUCGACUACAUAUCGGUGCUUCGUUGGAGGGUAGGCAGAAAGAGGUUCUGAGCAAUCAGGAUCCCAGAUAAAUGAUAGCAGAGUCGCUCACGCGAUGUUACAGGAUCCGGCUUACAGGUCUGCAGCUUUU
This 391-nucleotide RNase P RNA is filed under the name Bacteroidota bacterium. RNAcentral describes it as "Bacteroidetes bacterium RNase P RNA component class A". It matches the Rfam family "Bacterial RNase P class A". From Rfam's summary of the family: Ribonuclease P (RNase P) is a ubiquitous endoribonuclease, found in archaea, bacteria and eukarya as well as chloroplasts and mitochondria. Its best characterised activity is the generation of mature 5'-ends of tRNAs by cleaving the 5'-leader elements of precursor-tRNAs. Lineage: Bacteria; Pseudomonadati; Bacteroidota. The record is from RNAcentral.